This 493-nucleotide ribosomal RNA is filed under the name uncultured bacterium. RNAcentral's name for it is "partial 16S ribosomal RNA". It matches the Rfam family "Bacterial small subunit ribosomal RNA", at positions 29 to 523 of the family's 1533-position model. The record is from RNAcentral.
AUUGAACGCUGGCGGCGUGCUUUACACAUGCAAGUCGAACGGUAACAGGUUAAGCUGACGAGUGGCGAACGGGUGAGUAAUGCAUCGGAACGUGCCCGAUCGUGGGGGAUAACGCAGCGAAAGCUGCGCUAAUACCGCAUACGAUCUGAGGAUGAAAGCGGGGGACCGUAAGGCCUCGCGCGAUCGGAGCGGCCGAUGUCAGAUUAGGUAGUUGGUGGGGUAAAGGCCCACCAAGCCGACGAUCUGUAGCUGGUCUGAGAGGACGACCAGCCACACUGGGACUGAGCAACGGCCCAGACUCCUACGGGAGGCAGCAGUGGGGAAUUUUGGACAAUGGGCGAAAGCCUGAUCCAGCAAUGCCGCGGGCAGGAAGAAGGCCUUCGGGUUGUAAACUGCUUUUGUACGGAGCGAAAAGGUCCUUUCUAAUACAAGGGGCUCAUGACGGUACCGUAAGAAUAAGCACCGGCUAACUACGUGCCAGCCGCCGCCGUAA